Molecule: ribosomal RNA, 468 nt
Filed under: uncultured bacterium
Lineage: Bacteria
Description: partial 16S ribosomal RNA
Rfam family: Bacterial small subunit ribosomal RNA
Source: RNAcentral
GAUGAACGCUGGCGGCGUGCUUAACACAUGCAAGUCGAACGGUGAAGGCGGAGCUUGCCCUGCUGGAUCAGUGGCGAACGGGUGAGUAACACGUGAGCAAUCUGCCCCUGACUCUGGGAUAAGCGCUGGAAACGGCGUCUAAUACUGGAUACGAGCUGCGAAGGCAUCUUCAGCAGCUGGAAAGAAUUUCGGUCAGGGAUGAGCUCGCGGCCUAUCAGCUUGUUGGUGAGGUAAUGGCUCACCAAGGCGUCGACGGGUAGCCGGCCUGAGAGGGUGACCGGCCACACUGGGACUGAGACACGGCCCAGACUCCUACGGGAGGCAGCAGUGGGGAAUAUUGCACAAUGGGCGAAAGCCUGAUGCAGCAACGCCGCGUGAGGGACGACGGCCUUCGGGUUGUAAACCUCUUUUAGCAGGGAAGAAGCGAAAGUGACGGUACCUGCAGAAAAAGCGCCGGCUAACUACGUG